UACGAAGGGGACUAGCGUUGUUUCGGAAUCACUGGGCGUAAAGCGCACGUAGGCGGCUUUUCUAAGUCAGGGGUGAAAUCCUGGAGCUCAACUCCAGAACUGCCUUUUGAUACUUGGAGAGCUUUGAGUCCGGGAGAGGUGAGUGGGAACUCCGAGUGUAGAGGUGAAAUUCGUAGAUAUUCGGAAGAAACACCAGUGGCGAAGGCGGCUCUCUAGUACGGUACUGACGCUGAGACGGCGAAAAGCGUGGGGGAGCGAACAGGG
Molecule: ribosomal RNA, 264 nt
Filed under: uncultured bacterium
Lineage: Bacteria
Description: partial 16S ribosomal RNA
Rfam family: Bacterial small subunit ribosomal RNA
Source: RNAcentral